GAUGAACGCUGGCGGCGUGCCUAAUACAUGCAAGUCGAGCGAACAGACGAGGAGCUUGCUCCUCUGAUGUUAGCGGCGGACGGGUGAGUAACACGUGGAUAACCUACCUAUAAGACUGGGAUAACUUCGGGAAACCGGAGCUAAUACCGGAUAACAUGUUGAACCGCAUGGUUCAACAGUGAAAGACGGUCUUGCUGUCACUUAUAGAUGGAUCCGCGCCGCAUUAGCUAGUUGGUAAGGUAACGGCUUACCAAGGCAACGAUGCGUAGCCGACCUGAGAGGGUGAUCGGCCACACUGGAACUGAGACACGGUCCAGACUCCUACGGGAGGCAGCAGUAGGGAAUCUUCCGCAAUGGGCGAAAGCCUGACGGAGCAACACCGCGUGAGUGAAGAAGGUCUUCGGAUCGUAAAACUCUGUUAUUAGGGAAGAACAAAUGUGUAAGUAACUAUGCACGUCUUGACGGUACCUAAUCAGAAAGCCACGGCUAACUACGUG
RNAcentral lists this ribosomal RNA (497 nucleotides) under uncultured bacterium. RNAcentral describes it as "partial 16S ribosomal RNA". It matches the Rfam family "Bacterial small subunit ribosomal RNA", at positions 28 to 507 of the family's 1533-position model. The record is from RNAcentral.